AUGAGUGCACUCUGUUGGAAAUGCCGUGGCGCGGGCAAAGCCGCGACAGUUUGAGAAAUUCGCGACUUCGCGAAUAAAUUUGCCCCUACCCUUUUGUGUAUCGUUGAAACUCAGAUAUAAGGCUCAAGGGUAGAAGCAUUAGCAAGUACUUUUGGUUAUGAUAAUGGUUUUGCAAUUGGUAGUAGAGGCAGAAGUGGUGAUAUUUGGUGUAUUUUGGAAUAA
This 222-nucleotide ribosomal RNA is filed under the name Triticum aestivum (bread wheat). RNAcentral's name for it is "partial small subunit ribosomal RNA". Lineage: Eukaryota; Viridiplantae; Streptophyta; Magnoliopsida; Poales; Poaceae. The record is from RNAcentral.